UACGUAGGGUGCGAGCGUUGUCCGGAAUUAUUGGGCGUAAAGGGCUCGUAGGCGGUUUGUCGCGUCGGGAGUGAAAACUCAGGGCUUAACCCUGAGCCUGCUUCCGAUACGGGCAGACUAGAGGUAUGCAGGGGAGAACGGAAUUCCUGGUGUAGCGGUGAAAUGCGCAGAUAUCAGGAGGAACACCGGUGGCGAAGGCAGGUCUCUGGGCCACUACUGACGCUGAGAAGCGAAAGCAUGGGGAGCGAACAGG
RNAcentral lists this ribosomal RNA (253 nucleotides) under uncultured bacterium. Its description in RNAcentral is "partial 16S ribosomal RNA". It matches the Rfam family "Bacterial small subunit ribosomal RNA", at positions 524 to 776 of the family's 1533-position model. The record is from RNAcentral.